This 449-nucleotide ribosomal RNA is filed under the name uncultured bacterium. RNAcentral's name for it is "partial 16S ribosomal RNA". It matches the Rfam family "Bacterial small subunit ribosomal RNA", at positions 338 to 795 of the family's 1533-position model. The record is from RNAcentral.
CCUACGGGGGGCUGCAGUAAGGAAUAUUGGUCAAUGGACGCAAGUCUGAACCAGCCAUGCCGCGUGGAGGAUGAAGGUCCUCUGGAUUGUAAACUUCUUUUAUUUGGGAAGAAACUCCCGAUUUCCAUCGGGAUUGACGGUACCAGAUGAAUAAGCACCGGCUAACUCCGUGCCAGCAGCCGCGGUAAUACGGAGGGUGCGAGUGUACUGGGGAUUCAGGGGGCGUAAGUGGGGAGGAAAGUCGCUGGUGAAAUCUCCGGGCUUAACCCUGAAACUGCCAUUGAUACUAUUUGUCUUGAAUACUCUGGAGGUGAGCGGAAUAUGUCAUGUAGCGGUGAAAUGCUUAGAUAUGACAUAGAACACCCAUUGCGAAGGCAGCUCACUACGGAAAUAUUGACGCUGAGGCACGAAAGCGUGGGGAUCAAACAGGAUUAGAUACCCCUGUAGUC